GGGUGAUCGAGCUCCUAGGGUUCGGGCGCACGACUCAUAAUCGUGAGGUCGCGGGUUCGAGUCCCGCCUCAGCUACC
This 77-nucleotide transfer RNA is filed under the name Homoserinibacter gongjuensis. Its description in RNAcentral is "tRNA-Met". It matches the Rfam family "tRNA", at positions 15 to 71 of the family's 71-position model. Rfam says of the family: Transfer RNA (tRNA) molecules are approximately 80 nucleotides in length. Their secondary structure includes four short double-helical elements and three loops (D, anti-codon, and T loops). The record is from RNAcentral. Lineage: Bacteria; Bacillati; Actinomycetota; Actinomycetes; Micrococcales; Microbacteriaceae.